Molecule: ribosomal RNA, 655 nt
Filed under: Agaricus devoniensis
Lineage: Eukaryota; Fungi; Basidiomycota; Agaricomycetes; Agaricales; Agaricaceae
Description: partial 28S ribosomal RNA
Rfam family: Eukaryotic large subunit ribosomal RNA
Source: RNAcentral
AGGAAAAGAAACUAACAAGGAUUCCCCUAGUAACUGCGAGUGAAGCGGGAAAAGCUCAAAUUUAAAAUCUGGCGGUCUUUGGCCGUCCGAGUUGUAAUCUAGAGAAGUAAUGCCCGUGCUGGACCGUGUAUAAGUCUCCUGGGAUGGGGCGUCAUAGAGGGUGAGAAUCCCGUCUUUGACACGGACUACCAGUGCAUUGUGGUAUGCUCUCAAAGAGUCGAGUUGUUUGGGAAUGCAGCUCAAAAUGGGUGGUAAAUUCCAUCUAAAGCUAAAUAUUGGCGAGAGACCGAUAGCGAACAAGUACCGUGAGGGAAAGAUGAAAAGAACUUUGGAAAGAGAGUUAAACAGUACGUGAAAUUGCUGAAAGGGAAACGCUUGAANUCAGUCNCGUUGGCCAGGGAUCAGCCUUGCUUUUGCAUGGUGUUCUUUCUGGUUGACNNGGGUCACCAUCAAUUUUGACCGCUGGAAAAAGGCAUGGGGAAUGUUGCAGCUUCGGCUGUGUUAUAGCCCUUGGUCGCAUACAGUGGUUGGUAUUGAGGAANUNAGCACGCGGCAAGGCCGGGUUUNGANCACGUUCNUGCUUAGGAUGCUGGCAUAAUGGCUNUAAGCGACCNGUNUUGANACACGGACCNAGGAGUNUAAAAUGCCUGCGAGU